ACUUCCAAGAGAGUUUAAAUUAAGCAUGAUGCUUAGGUUAAAAUGCCCUCCUAAAUCAAAUUAGACAUGGUGUCUAGGUUGAUCUUUGAGCCGAUAGUAUGCUAUGUAGAUAUUGGAUAUUUUGUUGGACUAACCCCUGCAGGAAAACUUUUAAUAUCGACCUGGGAAGUCCUGAGAUAAACUCACAUUGGAGACAAAGAGAGAGAGCACAUGAAGUUUAACAAUUUACACAAGGAAGGCAUAGCUCAUAAGAGAUGAUCCAUGGAGGGUGCCACAAACACAAUGCACAACCCCUA
Molecule: long non-coding RNA, 296 nt
Filed under: Sorghum bicolor (sorghum)
Lineage: Eukaryota; Viridiplantae; Streptophyta; Magnoliopsida; Poales; Poaceae
Description: long non-coding RNA (SBIC_LNC000282)
Source: RNAcentral